AGCGAACGCUGGCGGCAGGCCUAACACAUGCAAGUCGAACGAAGUCUUCGGACUUAGUGGCGGACGGGUGAGUAACACGUGGGAACGUACCUUUUGGUUCGGAACAACUCAGGGAAACUUGAGCUAAUACCGAAUGUGCCCUUCGGGGGAAAGAUUUAUCGCCAUUAGAGCGGCCCGCGUUCGAUUAGCUAGUUGGUGGG
RNAcentral lists this ribosomal RNA (200 nucleotides) under uncultured bacterium. Its description in RNAcentral is "partial 16S ribosomal RNA". It matches the Rfam family "Bacterial small subunit ribosomal RNA", at positions 29 to 256 of the family's 1533-position model. The record is from RNAcentral.